RNAcentral lists this small nuclear RNA (22 nucleotides) under Arabidopsis thaliana (thale cress). RNAcentral's name for it is "snRNA_03560". Lineage: Eukaryota; Viridiplantae; Streptophyta; Magnoliopsida; Brassicales; Brassicaceae. The record is from RNAcentral.
GUUGACCUAUGAAUUUUGACCC